CUGGGGGCUUCAGUAUUGCAGUCAAGUGAUGGGGCAAAGCUAGGCAUGCCUGAGAUUCGCAUCCACUUAUGCCAGUGCUCACCCGGCACUGGUGUCAGGUGAGGCUGGCAGGCUUAGGGACACUGGGGUCACGGCCUCAACCUCCCAGGUGUCUGGGGAAACCCUCACCCACAGCACACUCUCGGCCUCACUCUCUCCAGCUCAUGGGGACUUCAUAGAGAAACAGGAUGUGAAGCUAAAAAGACAAACCCCGACCUGCCCAUCCUAACCUGUGUGUGCCCCAUCGUGCAGCCUGAGCUCUGGAACCACCACACAUAGGGCAAAGAGAAGAACAUGUCUUUGCACAGCUUCAGUCCUGAUCGGGCAACUAGAUCCCCGGAGAAUAUACUGAGUGGCAAAGCCUGA
RNAcentral lists this long non-coding RNA (405 nucleotides) under Homo sapiens (human). Its description in RNAcentral is "non-protein coding lnc-IGF1-1:1". The record is from RNAcentral. Lineage: Eukaryota; Metazoa; Chordata; Mammalia; Primates; Hominidae.